Molecule: small RNA, 163 nt
Filed under: Firmicutes bacterium CAG:882
Lineage: Bacteria; Bacillati; Bacillota
Description: Clostridiales-1 RNA
Rfam family: Clostridiales-1 RNA
Source: Rfam by way of RNAcentral
UAUAAUAAGUCCAUCAAUAGAUAUAAUGCAAGGCUGCUUGCAGACGGAGCGAUAUAUCUAUUAGAUGGGCAAACAGGCAUGAGCAAAAAGGGUGAUAACCCGAUUUGCGAAUGUAUGUUGUGAUUUCGAGAGUUCGCAGAACGGAGAAAUCACAUUUAUUAUA